RNAcentral lists this ribosomal RNA (469 nucleotides) under uncultured bacterium. RNAcentral describes it as "partial 16S ribosomal RNA". It matches the Rfam family "Bacterial small subunit ribosomal RNA", at positions 28 to 507 of the family's 1533-position model. The record is from RNAcentral.
GACGAACGCUGGCGGCGUGCUUAACACAUGCAAGUCGAACGGAAAGGCCCUGCUUGCAGGGUGCUCGAGUGGCGAACGGGUGAGUAACACGUGGGUGAUCUGCCCCUUACUUUGGGAUAAGCCUGGGAAACUGGGCCUAAUACUGGAUAGGACCAUGCUGUAGGUGGUGUGGUGGAAAGAUUAGUUUCGGUAAGGGAUGAGCUCGCGGCCUAUCAGCUUGUUGGUGGGGUAAUGGCCUACCAAGACGUCGACGGGUAGCCGGCCUGAGAGGGUGGACGGCCACAUUGGGACUGAGAUACGGCCCAGACUCCUACGGGAGGCAGCAGUGGGGAAUAUUGCACAAUGGGCGCAAGCCUGAUGCAGCGACGCCGCGUGGGGGAUGACGGCCUUCGGGUUGUAAACUCCUUUCAGCCAUGACGAAGCCCUUGUGGUGACGGUAGUGGUAGAAGAAGCACCGGCUAACUACGUG